UAAGAAAUCCAAAUAGAGACAGUACUACUAUUUGAUAUAAUGUAAAUGAAGAGAUUUUAAAAUGUUUAUUUAUUUAUAAAUAUAUUUAUGUAAAAUAAGUAAAUAAAUAAAAUUUUUAUAAAGUUUAUUUAUUUGAAAGAGAGAGCAUGCGAGCAAGUGGGGGAGGGGCAGAAAGUGCGGAACCUGACAUGGGGCUUGAACCCACAAACCACAAGAUCAUGAACUGAGCCGAAGUUGGAUGCAAACUGACUGAGCCACCCAGGCACCCCAAUAAAAAAUAUUUUUAUGUUGCUGAACUCACAUUUUAAUAAACCAGUGUAAUGACAAUUUACCUUUUAUAACCAAUUCAUUUUGUAGUAAGCUUCAUUGGCAGGCAAACUUGUUAUGUAGUAGAAUUUCAUUGUAUUUAUUACACUUAUUUUUUACACAUAAUAAAUACCCCAGUUAAAUUCACAUCCUAAGAUGCAAAAGCUGGGUAUAUUUGCAGAUGAAAUAUAAUCUGGGAAAGACAAUGUGGCAGUGAUUGGCUACUUGUUCACCAAAGCUAUUUUCCUUUUCCUAAGCUAAGACAGCUUAGACUACAUUUCCUCGCCUCCUCUGCAGUUAGAUGUAGCUAUAUGACUGUGUCUGGGCAAAGGAAGGAGAGUAAAAGUGAUAGGCAUUCCUUCCUUUGGUCUAUCUGCUUAAAAGAAAUCCCCCAAAGAGUCUUCAUGCUCUCUCUCUACCCCUUGUGCCAGCUGGAUAUUGGCACCGGAAGGGACCGUGGAAACUACAUGUUAAAGGUGAUAAAGUCUCCAUCAGGAAGAGUUCCUAAAUGAUUACAUAGUUCAGAGGCCCCAACACCACCCUCCUGCUACCUACGCUUUGCAUGAUCAAAAAAUGAAUUUCUGGGGGUGCCUGGGUGGCUCAGUUGGUUAAGCAUCUGACUUGUUUUUGGCUCAGGUCAUGAUCUCAGGUGCUCUGUGCUGACCGUGUGGAACCUGCUUGGGAUUCUCUCCCUCCUUCUCUCUCUCCCUGUCUCCAGCUCACACACACUCUCUCUCCAAAUAAACAAAUAAACUUAAAAAAAAAAAAAAGGAUUGUAUUUCAAAUCCUCAGGAUUCUGUGAUUUAACUAUUUCAGCAGCUCACAUCACAUUAAAAGAUGUUAAUUUUCCUUCAAGGUAAUACCAAGGACCUAGUAUCAUUCCCAUUCAUUUCUUAUUUUUCUUCCAUGUAUGUUUGCUGCCAUAAGUGACCAGGCAAUUUGAGUAGAUCACAAUAUUAGGAGGUUUGUAAAGGGGUGAGGAGAUUGAAGAUGCUUGAGGUAGGAGAAAGGAUUUGAAGGAUAUAAUUGCUUCCUCUUCUCCACAUAAGGUAACCAUCACUCCCCCUCUGCCUGGCCCAGUCCUUCAUUUCAAAGAUUCACACUCCUGCAAGCUGCUUUUUUCCCACCUGCUGAUGGCAUCCCCGUUGCAAAGCAGAGUUGGUGAAAACCUUGAUCAGCAUUCCCUUCUUGCCUAACUUAACGUUCACAUAUCAUCAAACGUACAUGCUGAGAUGCAAAAUAACCAUAACAUUAAAACUGAGAAAUAGGUCUUCUUUUUUAUGGGUAUGAUAAUAGAUGUCAGAGGAUCUCUCAUGGUGAACACUUUUGGGAGACAUGCAAAAUGUGUCAGAAGAUGUGCCCAUCUCUGACAGGACAUGUUGAAAUCAGACCAUACCCUUUGGGGGGCGCCUGGGUGGCUCAGUCGGUUGAGUGUCCAACUUUGGCUCAGGUCAUGAUCUCACAGCUCGUGAGUUCAAGCCCUGCAUCGGGCUCUGUGCUGACAGCUCAGAGCCUGGAGCCUGCUUCGGAUUCUGUGUCUCCCUCUCUCUCUCUCUGCCCCUAACCCACUCGCAUUCUGUCUGUCUCUCUCAAAAAUAAAUAAACAUUAAAAAAAAAAAAAAAAAGGAACAUACCCCUUGGAAUCUUUGGCCAAUAGAUUCACCAAUGAGAGCUACUCCUACAUUGUUUUCUUAUUGCUUAUUUCUCAGUCUAUUUGCCUUGCUAGACUUUCAUGAUUCCUUCUCUUGAGGAAAGGUAGAAAGUAAAUUCACUUCCCUAUGCUGAAUGUCCAGUGUAGUUUCUGGCACAUCAGUGUUCUCAGUGCCUGGUAACUUCUUGAUUGAGAACCAGAUGACUGCUGGAAGAAGCAUGGUAUGUGUCUGACUGACAUGAACAAUGCUCCUUGUAUGCAUUUUCUGCAUUAUUUCUUUUUAUCUACAUCAGCAGUCUGCCUUUAAGGUAUAGGUCACUAUCUGGCAAUUGUAGGUAUUUUUUAAUGAAAAGCCUCAUUAUGAUAAUGUUUGUGGUAUAAGGAAUUUAUCUAAAUUUAUAUCCCUCUGAUGAAUAUAUCUUCAGUUGAGUACUCUCAACAAAACUAUUAGAUUAUUCUUACGAUGGGUAGAGUUUAUAAUUUUGCAAGGAUUAGGCAAAUAGCACACACACAGGAACAGAUUGGGCACAUGCCCCUUCCCCGCCCCCCCCCCCACAAGAGCUUUAAAGCAGUACAUUCUGCUCUAUGGAUGAUUGCCUCCUCUGUAAUUCAGUGGCAUAUGGCUAGGCUUGGGCAAGCAGGUGUCUGUACCUAAUCUGGCAUGUAUUGUCUCAGUUCAGGUGCUCAGCCAGGCUGAUGUUUACAGCUGCGCUGUGGUUGAAAUUCUAGAGCCAUAGCAGUUUACUCUGAAUCCAAUGUACCUCUAGUCUAAAAUGUGGCAUUGUUGGCUUCUGGAAUUAUUUUCUAGUCUAUAAGAUGAUAGUAAAACUUAUUCUCACAGGGACUGUGAUAAGCAAAGUGAAGUUCAGUUCUAAAUUGUCAUAAAUGAAGUUAAAAAAGCUUUUUGUCUGUGUGGUGUUAGAUGGCAGAAAUGUUAUUAUAAGUAAGCCCCAAUUUCUUCUAGACACACUAUUGCCUAGCUGUAGUGAAUUGAUGAUUCCUUCAUAGAAGUAGGUAUAUCAAUCCUUUGACCCCCUUGGAAAACUAGCAGUACAUUCUAUUGGAUAAAACUCUUUCCACGGAAUUUCUAGCUGGCUAGAUUAAAUUUGCCUUUGGUGGUAUAGCAUAUGGACUUGUAUCUUGAUAGUGAUUCCAUUUAAAUAUAUAGGAAAAGCUUGAAAUGUGAUAAAUUAUCUAUCUAUUUUACACAACUAAUCCUUCUUGGAAAUCACAGAAAACCUGGGAUAAAAUGCAUGAUGUUGGUAAUCAGAACUGAGGAAAGCUUAACCACUGUAAUAGUCAGGCCAAAUCUAGGAAUAUCUGUAUAUCCACAGUCCUUUUUUUCCUUAGGGAUCCUACCUAUAUCCUAUCUGCCUGAGGAUAUCAACUCAAGACAGAACUCUAGGUGGCCUUGACCUAAAUUGCUUGACCUUACCAUCUGCAUUUGACCUAAAGCAGUCAGGCUUUUUUGGAAUCUGACCCAUUAAAUGACCUGGUACAAGUACUUUAUAUCCAACUCAUGAUGGUGACAUAAUGGACUGAUCAGAUCCUCUCUUUUAGGAAAUUUUAAAUUCAAGGUAGAGAGAAUUAUUUGAUAGGGACAGAAGUCAAAUACUUAGCCAGAAAAAAAGGUAGACAAAGAUGAGUCAGUAGAAGCUGUGAGUAAGCAAGAGUGAUAAAUAAGUAAAAGCUAAGUCAUGAAAUUUUCAAAAAGUGUGUGCGUAGGCCUACAGAUAUUUUACUUCAUAUCUGCAGGGGAAGAGGAUGAUCAACAGAUUACCACUGCGAGAGGCAUAAGGAACUAACCAAAUUUCUGCACAUCUGUCUAAUCCUGGGCAACUUGAAAUCACAACUUGAAAUCCUCAGUCUGUGUUCCUAUACUUUGCAUGAAGCCCAGUGAAGCUGCUUUCCAUGAAUUACCAUGAGGCCCAGCCACACGGCAUACCUUGUUCCUUAUUUUCAUGUGGAGCCUAUGAUAAUGCCCCCUCUGACCCUCCUCCCUCACACACACAACCUCACAGUUACUGGAGAUAACUUGAGUCAGUCUCUGUUCUUUGUAGCCAAAGGAUCCUAAUUUACACACCUGCUCUGUGAGUUCAUCUCUUAUUAUGUUGGCUGUGCAACCAAGGCAAGGGCUGAUGCACGAUAGCAAUUUCAUGCCCACGUUGAAAGUGUACAGACUUUGAAUAGGAAAGGCAGUUCACCUCUAAUUGUUUAAGAAAGUUGACGGGGUACAGGGAGGGCCCAGAGAAAGAUGGGUAACACUGAUGCCAUGACAUUUGAGGACACUACAUGGAAAUGUGCAUUUAGUGGGGAAAAAAAAGCGUAGGAACAAUAUUUUUUUUUUUGCUCCCUGCUAAAUUAUGAGUUCCUGAGGCAUUCUUCUCGAUGUGCCUCACCAAUGCCUGGGAAGGGGCUUUGCACACAGCAGGUGGAGCACUAAAUUGGUCACAUGAUGUGGCCCAGCCAUUGGUUUGUUUAGUAUCGGCUUUGAAUUGGCUGGUAAAAAUAUACUUGUAGGCAGACUAAACUGUUAACUGAAGAGACAGACAUGAAUCAGAGACAAGAGUAGGAUUUCCAGAAGCUUCUGGGAGAGGUAGAUAUAGACAGUGCAAAAUAGUCUAGAAACUAGAGGAGCUAAUUUCAAAGAGCCAGAUAAGAAACUGCCUUCCUCAUUCAGGGUACAAAGGACCAGAACAUACUGUUAUCGGGAACAUCUGCAGCCCACAGUACAGCGUAGCCUUUGGCCAGAGAGCAUGAUGUAAGGAAUGGGUAGUGGAGGAGAACUGGCAAAACACAAAUUCUGGAUUCUAGUUUUAAAAUGACAGAGCAUAUAUGGCAUUAUCUUCCUUGUCUCUCACAAAGCAUACAACUGCACUAGGAAAACAAAAAGAAAAAACAUGAGCCCCACCUUUAAAGAAACUAGACGUGCAGCCCCAAACCACAGUAUGCAAUGAGGAAGAGACAAAGCCAGUUGAAGAAAGAUAACCACAGCUGCACAUCCCACACAAACCAGUAAUGCCCAGUUGAGACUAAUGGGAGCCAGGGUGCGGGCUGGCAGCAAGAGCUUCCUUGGCCCUGAUUAGGCAGAAAGAGGAAGCAGGGUAAUGCGCUGAAGGGAGAAUCACACGGAAAAGAUUGAAAACACAGGCAAAAGCUUACCAGGAAAACACAAACACUAGAGUAAGAUUGCAUCUUUAACAUCAGACAUGAUUGGAUUUGGAGGAAAAAGCUUUAAAUAAGGCAAAGAAGGAUGAUUCAUAAUAGCAGUAUACUACCACCAUCUAUAAGGAAAACCAACAGGAAAUACGAAAUUUCCUACAGGAAAUACUUACAUGAUUGUGGUAGGAAAAUAUUAAUUCACUUCUCUUAGUCCAGGAGAUCAGGUAGACAAGAGAUAAGAAAAAGAAAACCCAAAUAAAAAUAAUAAAUAAAGCAAAUAUUUGGUAUUUGCCACUUUGUGUUCUGAAAGGUAAGAAUAGACCUUUUUAGAUGCUGAAUAAAACAUUCACAAAAAUAGCUCAGAAAGGAAAUUGAAUGAAUUUCAAAAGGUGAAAGGAAGGCAUACAGCAUUCUCUAAUCUUAUUGCAAUAAAACUAAAAGUUAAGGAUGUUCUAAUUUAUCAUUUGAACAUUUAAAAAUGUUUAUUUAAAUAACUCUUGGAUCACAGAGGAAACCAAAGAGGUUAUAGAAAAUCUAGGGAAAAAAGCACAGUGAAAACACAUCAUUCUCAGAACCCAUGGGACACAGUGAAAGCAGAAUUCAGAAGCACCUCUCUUACUGAAGAAAGAAAGAAAAUGAACAUCUAACUCAAAAAGUUAGAAAAAUGAUCAACAAACCUUAAACAGCAGAAGGUAGGAAUAAAGAUAAAAGUUAAUGGACUGGAAAAAGGAAAAUUGAUCAGACUAAUAAAUAAAAGAGACAGUUAUUUAAAAUAAAUAGGUAAAUCUUUAGCUAACCUAAUAAAAUUAGAAAGUGGGAGGGGAAGAUAGCAUAGAUGAGAAAUAAACAUGGGGAAAUGGUAGAAACAGAAAAGAAUAAAAGAAUCAAACUAUUUUGCUCAAUCCUGUACAAAUUGGGAACCUGCAAGAAAGGAUGAUUUUUCAAGGAAAACAGAAAUGAUCAAUACUCAUCUCAGAUAAUUAGAAAAUCUAAACUAUCACAGAAUAACUUCCACCCCAACCCCCAGCCCCCUCCAGAAAAGCCUGAGUGAGGCCCAGGUGAUUUAAUAGGUGGCUGCUAUCAAUUUCUCAGGAACAGAUGAGGCCAAUCUUCCCAAAUAUAUGUGCUUUAAUAAGUAUGGAGAUCUCUGAGAAGAGACAAAAAUUCCCAAACAGUUGUUAGCCCUAGGGAAUGGAGGUAGGACUAAGGGACAGUAUUGGAAGCAAGUCUUAACUUUUUUCUACCUGUCUUUUGUGUCUUUCUAUUCUAUGCCAUAUGUGUAUAUUACUUACCCAAGUGCGAGGAAUUUAGAAUAUAUUUGUUUCACGUUUGGACAAGUUCACAAAACCAUUUGGCUUUUGUUAUUUUGUUCGGUUUACCUUGAUUUUUUUGGUAGGUAAACAUGUUUAAAUGGCCUCCCUACAGAUGUCCCACCCUAAUCCUGAGAACCUGUGGAUAUGAUGAGAUCUGACUUCUGUGAUUAUGUUCCAUAUCACAGUUGACCUCAACAUAAGGAGAUUAUCUUGGGUUAUCUGAGUGAAGCUGACCUAACCGUGUGAGAGCUUCCUUUGGCGGAUGGCAGAGGGCAGUCAAGGAGAUAGGAAGUAUUGGAAGGUGUGACUGUGCAGUUGUGGCUUGAAGAUGGAGGAGAUCAGGGGAAGGAAUGCAGGUGGUUCUGAGGAGCUGAGGGCAGCCCCCCCACCCCCCCGGCCCCCAGGUGAUAGCCGUAAAGGAAACACUACUUCAUUAGGGACUUAGAGACAGGAGCCAUGUUCCCUCCAGUGGGACACAGUGGGAUGGUGCAGAGCAGCCUGAGAGCCAGCGGCAGGGGGCCUCGCACCUCGUCAGGGGCUGCAUUGUCUCAUUCAGUGCAAUAUACUCUGCUGUAUUUUCAUUGUUUUCUCCAGUUGUGCAGAAGUCCCAUUUUAUUAUCUUAAUGAAGAGAAUAAAUUUUUUAUACCUGUCUUGUUUUUGUUUGUCCUUGUUCAAAUUAUAGUAUUAAAAAUCAUUUUGGGGCGCGUCUAGGUGGUUCCGUUGAGCAUCCGACUCUUGAUUUCGGCUCAAGUCAUGAUCUCACGGUUCUGGGAUGGAGCCCCAACAAGAAACCUGUUUGGGAUUCUCUCCCUCUCUCCCUCUGCCACUGUCCCACUUACUCAAGCAUGCUCUCUCUCUCUCUCUCUCUCUCUCUCACU
Neofelis nebulosa (Clouded leopard) is the source of this 7311-nucleotide long non-coding RNA. RefSeq lists it as uncharacterized. The transcript has 2 exons. The record is from RefSeq and is a predicted model, not a curated record. NCBI's taxonomy places the organism in Eukaryota, Metazoa, Chordata, Mammalia, Carnivora, Felidae.